AAGGUUUGGUCCCAGCCUUUCUAUUAGCUGUUUAUAAACUUACACAUGCAAGCAUCAACAAACCAGUGAGAAUGCCCUUAAAACCUUUCGCAGGAAAAAAGGAGCCGACAUCAAGCACGCAAAAUUGCAGCUAAAAACGUCUUGCCCAACCACACCCCCACGGGAUACAGCAGUGAUAAACAUUAAGCAAUGAACGAAAGUUUGACUAAGUUAUAUAAAAUUUAGGGUUGGUAAAUUUCGUGCCAGCCACCGCGGUCAUACGGUUAACCCUAGCUAAUAGGCUCAACGGUGUAAAGAGUGUAAAUUGACUCACCAAAAAUAAAUGAAGAUAAGAUAAAUUUAAGAUGUAUAAACCUCCAAAUUUACAAAAACUCAACAACGAAAGUGUCUUCAACUAUUUAUAACCUACACGAUAGCUAGAACCUAAACUGGGAUUAGAUACCCCAUUAUAUCUAGCCAUAAACAUAAAUAAUCAUUAACAAGAUUAUUCACCAGAGAACUACGGGCCACAGCCUAAAACUCAAAGGACUUGGCGGUGCUUCACAUCCACCUAGAGGAGCCUGUUCUAUAAUCGAUAAACCCCGAUCUACCUCACCAAUCCUUGCUAAUUCAGUCUAUAUACCGCCAUCUUCAGCAAACCCUAAUAAAGGUAAAAAAGUAAGCACAAUAAUUUUCCAUAAAAACGUUAGGUCAAGGUGUAACCUAUGGAUUGGGAAGUAAUGGGCUACAUUUUUUAUUUUAAAACAUAACGGAACGUCUUAAUGAAAUUUAAGAUUAAAGGAGGAUUUAGCAGUAAAUUAAGAAUAGAGAGCUUAAUUGAAUUUGGCCAUGAAGCACGUACACACCGCCCGUCACCCUCCUCAAAUGUUAAAAAGUUGAACAUAUCUUAAACCAUACUAAAUACACUAGAGGAGACAAGUCGUAACAAGGUAAGUAUACUGGAAAGUGUACUUGGAURAUA
RNAcentral lists this non-coding RNA (961 nucleotides) under Neotetracus sinensis (Shrew gymnure). RNAcentral's name for it is "partial 12S ribosomal RNA". It matches the Rfam family "Bacterial small subunit ribosomal RNA". The record is from RNAcentral. Lineage: Eukaryota; Metazoa; Chordata; Mammalia; Eulipotyphla; Erinaceidae.